Molecule: long non-coding RNA, 554 nt
Organism: Ruditapes philippinarum (Manila clam)
Lineage: Eukaryota; Metazoa; Mollusca; Bivalvia; Venerida; Veneridae
Exons: 4
Source: RefSeq, a predicted model, not a curated record
UAAAUGUUAGCGCACAGCACAGUAGAUAUUUGACGUUCUUCUCACGAUCUUAAUAAAGUAAUACAAUAGAGCUAUAUUAUUAAAGUAUAAACGUGUUGUUUAUGGGAAUACCUAAUGGACAAGAUGGAGUCACGUGAUCUACGCAGCGGACAUUGAUUACUUGAGAUCAACAAUUACCAAACACUUCUCAGAAAAUCGUCACCACGUGAUCAACAAUACUAACAAAGUAGCCUCCAAGGAAUUCAUUUACAACGAGUUUAACAGAUUCGAGCUUGAAACCUCAUAUCAUAACUUCAGUUUCACCGACAUAUCUAAAGUACCUUUUGCAAAUGUCGUUGGUAUUCUAAAGGGCACGAACUUUGGAAAGGUAAAUGAUAAGAUUAUCGGACUUGGUGCGCACUAUGACACUGUGCAACAUACUAAAGGAGUUGAUGAUAACGGUGCCGGUGUAGCUGCAAUGUUGGAAGUUGCUAAGCAACUGACAGGCCAAAACAAACAAGGAGUUACGCGCAAAAACACAAUUAUAUUUGUGUCUUUUGAUUUAGAGGAAGAAG